GUGCUUUAUUCUAUUGGAGAAUUUUGCUGUUGGAAGUUAUCUCUUUCUCUGUGGCUAACGUGUGAAUAUUUCGUACAGGACAAAGGCGUUCACUAAAGGAACCACUAAUAAAAAAGGACCUCCACACUGCAGUAAAAUGGUUGCGCCAACAUAGACGGUUGUUCAGAGGUGCUGUGUCUGAGCCCCAUUUUCUGGAGAUGGAGGAGGAGGACCAAAGCCGAGCUCUCCAGGACAUCAUCGAUGCAGUCGAAACUGAAGAUUUAAUUUUGGCAAAAGAACCCUUUGUAUUUAUUUUUCAGUUUAGGGAUGAUAUGGAACUUUUCACUCA
Molecule: long non-coding RNA, 328 nt
Organism: Erpetoichthys calabaricus (reedfish)
Lineage: Eukaryota; Metazoa; Chordata; Cladistia; Polypteriformes; Polypteridae
Exons: 2
Source: RefSeq, a predicted model, not a curated record